AUUGCGAUGGAACACGUUGAGAAUCCUAUUGAGGGUUAUAAUGGAACUCCCGUGAGGAGUAAGAGACAGAGGACUGCAAAGUCCUUUGGUGAUGAUUUCAUUGUGUACCUUGUGGAUGACACACCCAGGACUAUUUCAGAAGCCUAUGCAUCUCCUGAUGCUGACUACUGGAAGGAAGCCGUUCGUAGCGAGAUGGAUUCCAUCUUAGCUAACGGAACCUGGGAGAUCACUGAUCGUCCUUAUGGGUGCAAACUUGUAGGAUGUAAGUGGGUGUUCAAUAAGAAGCUUAGACCUGAUGGUACGAUUGAAAAGUACAAGGCACGACUUGUGGCUAAGGGUUAUACCCAGAAAGAAGGUGAAGACUUCUUUGAUACUUACUCACCCGUGGCUACACUGACCACAAUUCGGGUGCUACUAUCACUGGCUGCCUCACAUGGUCUUCUCGUUCAUCAAAUGGACGUUAAGACGGCUUUCCUCAAUGGAGAGUUGAAGGAGGAGAUUUACAUGGAUCAGCCAGAUGGUUUUGUAGUACCUGGUCAGGAAGGAAAGGUGUGCAAGUUAUUAAAGUCUUUAUAUGGCCUUAAACAAGCUCCUAAGGAGUGGCAUGAGAAGUUCGAAAGAACAUUAACUGCUGCCAGCUUUGUAGUAAAUGAUGGUGACAAGUGUGGGUACUAUCGCCAUGGUGGGGGCGAAGGAGUUAUUCUUUGUCUGUAUGUCGACGACAUAUUGAUCUUUGGAACCAAACUUGAUUUAAUCAAGGAGGUUAAGGAUUUCUUAUCUCGCUGUUUUGAGAUGAAGGAUCUAGGAGUAGCUGAUGUUAUCUUAAACAUCAAGCUGUUGAGAGAUGAGAAUGGUGGGAUCACACUGCUUCAGUCUCACUAUGUGGAAAAGGUCUUGAGUCGUUUUGGGUAUAGCGACUGCACGCCUUCUCCAACUCCAUAUGAUGCUACGAGUGCCACGAGGCCUAACAUCUCGUUUGCUGUUAGCAAGCUGAGUCGGUUUGUGUCAAAACUGGGAGAUGAUCAUUGGCAUGCGCUUGAGAGAGUUAUGCGCUAUUUGAAAGGCACUGCGAGCUAUGGGAUUCACUACACCGGGUAUCCAAGGGUACUAGAGGGUUAUAGUGAUUCAAACUGGAUAUCUGAUGCUAAUGAGAUUAAGGCCACAAGUGGUUAUGUUUUUACACUUGGUGGUGACACUGCCACUGUUGAAGCAGAGUGGCUUCGUGAGCUCUUGAUGGACUUGCCUAUGGUUGAAAAACCAAUACCCCCUAUCCUGAUGAACUGUGAUAAUCAAACUGUGAUCGUCAAGAUAAACAGUUCUAAGGACAAUAUGAAGUCCUCAAGGCAUGUGAAGAGGAGACUAAAAUCUGUCAGAAAAUUGAGGAACUCCAGAGUUAUUAUGUUGGAUUAUAUCCAUACGUUGAAAAAUUUGGCAGAUCCCUUCACAAAGGGUCUAUCACGUAAUGUGAUAGAUAAUGCAUCGAUGGAGAUGGGUCUGAGACCCACC
Molecule: ribosomal RNA, 1506 nt
Filed under: Triticum aestivum (bread wheat)
Lineage: Eukaryota; Viridiplantae; Streptophyta; Magnoliopsida; Poales; Poaceae
Description: partial small subunit ribosomal RNA
Source: RNAcentral